CGUAACAAGGUUUCCGUAGGUGAACCUGCGGAAGGAUCAUUACCGAGUGAGGGCCCUCUGGGUCCAACCUCCCACCCGUGUUUAUCGUACCUUGUUGCUUCGGCGGGCCCGCCUCACGGCCGCCGGGGGGCAUCCGCCCCCGGGCCCGCGCCCGCCGAAGACACACAAACGAACUCUUGUCUGAAGAUUGCAGUCUGAGUACUUGACUAAAUCAGUUAAAACUUUCAACAACGGAUCUCUUGGUUCCGGCAUCGAUGAAGAACGCAGCGAAAUGCGAUAAGUAAUGUGAAUUGCAGAAUUCAGUGAAUCAUCGAGUCUUUGAACGCACAUUGCGCCCCCUGGUAUUCCGGGGGGCAUGCCUGUCCGAGCGUCAUUGCUGCCCUCAAGCACGGCUUGUGUGUUGGGCUCUCGCCCCCCGCUUCCGGGGGGCGGGCCCGAAAGGCAGCGGCGGCACCGCGUCCGGUCCUCGAGCGUAUGGGGCUUCGUCACCCGCUCUGUAGGCCCGGCCGGCGCCCGCCGGCGAACACCAUCAAUCUUAACCAGGUUGACCUCGGAUCAGGUAGGGAUACCCGCUGAACUUAAGCAUAUCAAUA
RNAcentral lists this ribosomal RNA (593 nucleotides) under Penicillium sp. IM-3. RNAcentral's name for it is "eukaryotic LSU rRNA". The stretch from base 220 to 373 matches the Rfam family "5.8S ribosomal RNA". Lineage: Eukaryota; Fungi; Ascomycota; Eurotiomycetes; Eurotiales; Aspergillaceae. The record is from RNAcentral.